Molecule: long non-coding RNA, 635 nt
Filed under: Gossypium raimondii (Peruvian cotton)
Lineage: Eukaryota; Viridiplantae; Streptophyta; Magnoliopsida; Malvales; Malvaceae
Description: long non-coding RNA (GRAI_LNC000085)
Source: RNAcentral
UCUCAAGUUGAUGAUCCUUCAGAGUCGACUUGGUUUGGUUCAAUCACAUCCGCUUGUACCAUACAAUUGUUUCAUUCUUACAGUUCAAGAUGGUAAAAGCUGUAAGAAUUCCUUAAUGAGGAGAAAAGGAUAAAUGAAAAGAAAAAGUAAGAGAUGAUACGCUUUAUCCAUCUUCAGAGUCAACUUGGUUUGGUUCAAUCACAUCCGCUUGUACCGUAUAUUUCACUUUUACAGUUCAUGAUGGUUAAAGCUGUAAGAAUUCAUUCAUGAGGAGAAAAAGGAUGAAGGAAAAGAAAAAGGUAAGACAUGAUACACUUUAACCGUCUGCAGAGUUCAACUUGGUUCGAUUCAAUCACUUCCACUAGAAUCAUAUAAUUGUUCCAUUUUUUACAGUUGAAGAUGGUUAAAGCUGUAAGAUCCAUUCAUGAGGACAAAGGAAUAAAGGAAAAGGAAAAAGAAAAGAAAGAGUAAGAGAUGACACGCUUAUAAGAGUUCUUUUUAUCUUAUAUUUCUCCAUCAGUAACAUCUGCAUAUGUUAAAUCAGAAACAUCUGUUAAUCAUAUCCAGCCAAUUACUCCAUAACAUCAAUUCUUUUGGUCAUAAUUAUACUAACAGUUCGAUCAAAAGAUAAUAAG